UUUUGGUGCAGUAGUCUUAGCCCAAUCCAUCUGAAUUCCAAAGAUCGAUCUCUUCUUUAACGACCAAAUCCACUGAACCAAAACUUCGAAAACCCUGGUGAGCAAGUUUGCUAUUUUAGGGUAUUUGUUAAGAAUGUCGGGAAAUGAGCUCCGAGGAAUCAAGAAUAGCUGAUGAAGUAGCUCAAACAAAAUCGAGGUUUGUAUGAUUUAACUUGCUAAUCUCUUUGUGUCUUGUUGAAGUGGCGUGAUUGUAGUCCAAAACCAUUAGAAAAAAUGACUCCUUGGAUUCGCAGAACUCUCAUAUUAGUCUCUCGAAACAGCUCUCAGUGUAAAUCUUCAUUCCUGCAUUCAGCAUUCCUCAUUUUCUUUUCCACUGCUAGUAAAGAGAAUCUAAAUCCAAAAUCACUUGCUUCGAUUACUUGGUCAAUCAACAGCAAAACUCCCCUGAAGCCGCUUCAAUUGUCUCAUCGUCAACUACUGAGUACCUCAAGAAACCCCAAAAUGCAGAUUCAGUGCUCAAAUUCCUCAUGGAAAGGGCUUUAUCUAAAACCUAGGUAGAAAAUGUUGUCCAAAGAGUGCCCCGUGUUCUCUCUGCUAAUCCUGAGGUUGUACCAUCAAUUCUUAUUAUGUCCAUUCAAUAGCAGCAUUCAAAACGUUUACAUGGGGCUGAAAUGGCUUUCUGAAGGUUUCCAUGUUCAUGGCGUUAUACUUUUAUUAAUUUUCACCAGAAAGUUUACUUUCACCCGCUGAAUCCUCGCACUUUCUACACGACUUCCAUUAUUGAGCUGUACCCUUGGCUCGUGUGUCAUUCUCAUCCUCACGCUCCGUGAAACUGUCCUACCGUCCUCCCACUACCCGCCCCUCCGAUCAACGCCAUGGUCCACGCCACUCUGGCUUUCGAUGAUAGUACUUGUGCAAAUUUGUUAACAACUUAUAGACCAAAGUUGAUGAGUUUUAAUUUAAUAGUUAUAAUAAAACUUUAUUAAAAUAAAAUAAAUUAAAACAACAGAUCAUAUCCAAAAACAAUCAUACAAAAGAUGCUGUCAAAUAUAUCAUGCCCGUGUGAGAACAUUGCAUAUAAAUGUUUGAGGUAUGUAAUAUUUACAACAUGUUAUUUAAGCUGUUUAUAAAUAUUCUAUUUUUCCAAGAGAUAAAUAUAUCAUGCCAGCAAACCAUGGCUACUAGUCUUUGUAAAAUCAAAGCAAAAUUGACCAAUCAAACUUAAACUCACACCCUUCUCUCCAAAUGCCAUUCCCAGCAUUUCCCAUGCAUGCAAAAUAACCUCCGCUCAUGAUUCUCCCGUUGCUCAUACACCACCCUCCCUCUCUUUACCUCCGCUCCCCAUGUUUCCAUGGCGGAGUGGCUUCCGUCCAACUCUUCUUCUAAUGUUAAUGUUCACGACCCUGUCACAUCUCAACCCCGACUCGCUUUUCAAACUGGAACCUACAUUGUCCAGGUCCCUAUGGACCAAAUUUAUCUUGUUCCUGCACCGGAAAAUGCUAAACAACAUCGAAAUCCUGAAGCAAAGAAGGAAGCUUAUCGUUGUUAUAGCCAAUUGUGUUGCUUUAUAUUCAUUGUUAUUGUUGUUAUUUCCAUUGCCCUCACUCUGGGAUUUUCUUUUUCUCUCCUUAAACCUAAGAAUCCCGAGU
Long non-coding RNA from Manihot esculenta (cassava), 1649 nucleotides. RefSeq lists it as uncharacterized. The record is from RefSeq and is a predicted model, not a curated record. The transcript has 3 exons. NCBI's taxonomy places the organism in Eukaryota, Viridiplantae, Streptophyta, Magnoliopsida, Malpighiales, Euphorbiaceae.